This is a non-coding RNA of Gossypium hirsutum (cotton), 141 nucleotides long. Lineage: Eukaryota; Viridiplantae; Streptophyta; Magnoliopsida; Malvales; Malvaceae. The record is from Rfam.
UGUUAAAAAUUUCAUCUAUUUGUAUUGUUAAAAAUUGGCAUGGUUGAUGGAAUAAUCAGAAAGUGAAAUGUGAUGUCAUAUGUACCUCAUGCUGAUGUAGGGAUCAGUUUUUAACAGUAAAAAUGGAUGGAAUCUUUAACA